GUGCCUUUCGGGGAACUCGGAGGACAGGUGCUGCAUGGCUGUGUCAGCUCGUGUCGUGAGAUGUUGGGUUAAGUCCCGCAACGAGCGCAACCCUUGUCUUAAUUGCCAGCAUUCAGUUGGGCACUUUAAAGAGACUGCCGGUGUUAAGCCGGAGGAAGGUGGGAUGACGUCAAGUCCUCAUGGCCUUUAUGCCCAGGGCUACACACGUGCUACAAUGGGUGGUACAAAGAGAUGCCAACUCGCGAGAGCGCGCCAAUCUCAGAAAGCCAUCCUCAGUUCGGAUUGGAGUCUGCAACUCGACUCCAUGAAGUUGGAAUCGCUAGUAAUCGCGGAUCAGCACGCCGCGGUGAAUACGUUCCCGGGCCUU
RNAcentral lists this ribosomal RNA (367 nucleotides) under uncultured Smithella sp. Its description in RNAcentral is "bacterial SSU rRNA". It matches the Rfam family "Bacterial small subunit ribosomal RNA", at positions 1014 to 1382 of the family's 1533-position model. Lineage: Bacteria; Pseudomonadati; Thermodesulfobacteriota; Syntrophia; Syntrophales; Smithellaceae. The record is from RNAcentral.